GAGCUGCACGGAGCGAUGCGCUUCUGCCUGUCGUGCGGUGGCAAUUUUGCUGUAAAUUUGGCAAACUCGAGGGGCAAAUAGGUAACAGGUGCGCUGGUGUGCGGGACGGAGCCGCAAGGAGCCAAAAAAACCAGCUCCAUGUCGCGCGUGCAAAAACGGCUCCGCUCCACCUGGCUCCUCCCUUGGAGCUGUUCCCAUUUAAGCCCUUUGGCUCAGCUCCACCAAAAACGACUCCUGGAGCCGUUUUUCGAGCUCUACCAAAGGAGCCCUUAGUCCUGAUUGUAAACACCAACCCCCUUUAGUCCUGG
Molecule: long non-coding RNA, 308 nt
Filed under: Setaria italica (foxtail millet)
Lineage: Eukaryota; Viridiplantae; Streptophyta; Magnoliopsida; Poales; Poaceae
Description: long non-coding RNA (SITA_LNC005816)
Source: RNAcentral